AGGGCACCACCAGGAGUGGAGCCUGCGGCUUAAUUUGACUCAACACGGGAAAACUCACCCGGCCCGGACACUGGAAGGAUUGACAGAUUGAGAGCUCUUUCUUGAUUCAGUGGGUGGUGGUGCAUGGCCGUUCUUAGUUGGUGGAGUGAUUUGUCUGGCUAAUUCCGAUAACGAACGAGACUCUAGCCUACUAAAUAGAUCGUCGGCUUACAAACGCCGACGAGACUUCUUAGAGGGACAGGCGGUGAUUCAACCGCACGAAACAGAGCAAUAACAGGUCUGUGAUGCCCUUAGAUGUCCGGGGCCGCACGCGCGCUACACUGAAGUGAUCAGCGUGCUUUUGUCAACCUACUCUGUCAAGAGUGGGGAACCCAAUGAACCUUCUUCGUGAUUGGGAUAGGGGAUUGUAAUUAUUCCCCUUGAACGAGGAAUUCCCAGUAAGCGCGAGUCAUAAGCUCGCGUUGAUUACGUCCCUGCCCUUUGUACACACCGCCCGUCGCUACUACCGAUUGAAUGUUU
RNAcentral lists this ribosomal RNA (519 nucleotides) under uncultured eukaryote. Its description in RNAcentral is "SSU rRNA". It matches the Rfam family "Eukaryotic small subunit ribosomal RNA", at positions 1161 to 1698 of the family's 1831-position model. The record is from RNAcentral.